AUUGAACGCUGGCGGCAGGCCUAACACAUGCAAGUCGAGCGGCAGCGGGACCUUCGGGUUGCCGGCGAGCGGCGGACGGGUGAGUAAUGCCUAGGAAUCUGCCUGUUAGUGGGGGAUAACGCGGGGAAACUCGCGCUAAUACCGCAUACGUCCUACGGGAGAAAGCGGGGGCUCUUCGGACCUCGCGCUAACAGAUGAGCCUAGGUCGGAUUAGCUAGUUGGUGGGGUAAUGGCCCACCAAGGCGACGAUCCGUAACUGGUCUGAGAGGAUGAGCAGUCACACUGGAACUGAGACACGGUCCAGACUCCUACGGGGGGCAGCAGUGGGGAAUAUUGGACAAUGGGCGAAAGCCUGAUCCAGCCAUGCCGCGUGUGUGAAGAAGGUCUUCGGAUUGUAAAGCACUUUAAGUCGGGAGGAAGGGCUGUAGGCCAAUACCUUGCAGUUUUGACGUUACCGACAGAAUAAGCACCGGCUAACUUCGUGCCAGCCGCCGCCGUAA
RNAcentral lists this ribosomal RNA (500 nucleotides) under uncultured bacterium. Its description in RNAcentral is "partial 16S ribosomal RNA". It matches the Rfam family "Bacterial small subunit ribosomal RNA", at positions 30 to 523 of the family's 1533-position model. The record is from RNAcentral.